RNAcentral lists this transfer RNA (86 nucleotides) under Candidatus Aenigmatarchaeota archaeon. RNAcentral's name for it is "tRNA-Ser". It matches the Rfam family "tRNA". From Rfam's summary of the family: Transfer RNA (tRNA) molecules are approximately 80 nucleotides in length. Their secondary structure includes four short double-helical elements and three loops (D, anti-codon, and T loops). Lineage: Archaea; Nanobdellati; Candidatus Aenigmatarchaeota. The record is from RNAcentral.
GCUGGGGUAGCCAAGUUUGGUUCAAGGCGCAGGUCUGGAAAACCUGUGAGCGAAAGCUCGCGUGGGUUCAAAUCCCACCCCCAGCG